AGUUUGAUCCUGGCUCAGGAUGAACGCUAGCGGCAGGCCUAAUACAUGCAAGUCGAACGGUAAGCUUUGUAGCAAUAUGAAGCCUAGAGUGACGUAAGGGUGCGUAACACGUAUGCAAUCUACCCUCAACAGGAGUAUAGCUCGGGGAAACUCGGAUUAACACUCCAUAAUAUUACGAAGUGGCAUCACUUUGUGAUUAAAACUGCGGUGGUUGAGGAUGAGCAUGCGUCUGAUUAGUUAGUUGGUGAGGUAACGGCUCACCAAGACGAUGAUCAGUAGGGGAACUGAGAGGUUGAUCCCCCACACUGGCACUGAGAUACGGGCCAGACUCCUACGGGAGGCAGCAGUAGGGAAUAUUGGUCAAUGGGUGAGAGCCUGAACCAGCCAUGCCGCGUGCAGGAAGACGGCCUUCUGGGUUGUAAACUGCUUUUAUCUGGGGAUAAAAAGCCCAUGCGUGGGACAUUGAAGGUACCAGAUGAAUAAGCACCGGCUAACUACGUGCCAGCAGCCGCGGUAAUACGUAGGGUGCAAGCGUUGUCCGGAUUUAUUGGGUUUAAAGGGUGCGUAGGCGGUCUAUUAAGUCAGUGGUGAAAUCCAACAGCUCAACUGUUGAUGUGCCAAUGAUACUGAUGGACUUGAGUACAGACGAGGUAGGCGGAAUUGACAGUGUAGCGGUGAAAUGCAUAGAUAUUGUCAAGAACACCGAUAGCGAAGGCAGCUUGCUAGCCUGUAACUGACGCUGAGGCACGAAAGUAUGGGGAUCAAACAGGAUUAGAUACCCUGGUAGUCCAUACUGUAAACGAUGAUUACUCGAUGUUGGCGAUACACAGUCAGCGUCUUAGCGAAAGCGAUAAGUAAUCCACCUGGGGAGUACGCCGGCAACGGUGAAACUCAAAGGAAUGAC
This 904-nucleotide ribosomal RNA is filed under the name uncultured bacterium. RNAcentral describes it as "bacterial SSU rRNA". It matches the Rfam family "Bacterial small subunit ribosomal RNA", at positions 10 to 914 of the family's 1533-position model. The record is from RNAcentral.